GUGCUCACUUCAGCAGCAUAUAUAUUAAAAAUUGGAACAAUACUGAGAAGAUUAACAUGACCCCUGUGGAAGGAUGACUGGCAAAUUCGUGAAGCAUGCCAUUAUUUA
RNAcentral lists this small nuclear RNA (108 nucleotides) under Salvator merianae (Argentine black and white tegu). Lineage: Eukaryota; Metazoa; Chordata; Lepidosauria; Squamata; Teiidae. The record is from RNAcentral.